CCCUACGGGGUGCAGCAGGGGCGAGCAUACUCAAUGCCGAGCUUCUGGUAAAGAAAGGACUGCUCUAAAUUGGCGGCAUUUGAAAAGCAGUAUGCUCUGAUCGAAACAUGUUGAUAAUAGCCUGGGAGUUGACGGCCGCCUGCAAUUUAUCCUGUCGGUAUUGCCGCGCUUCUGCCUCUCAUGAGCCGGACCAGGGCGAGCUGGACACAGAUGAGGCCAAAAGGUUCGUAGAGAGCAUUGCUCCCCUGAAGCCGAUGCUCAUCCUCAGCGGGAGAGC
This 277-nucleotide ribosomal RNA is filed under the name uncultured prokaryote. RNAcentral's name for it is "partial 16S ribosomal RNA". The record is from RNAcentral.